Molecule: non-coding RNA, 122 nt
Filed under: marine eukaryotic metagenome
Description: Moco (molybdenum cofactor) riboswitch
Rfam family: Molybdenum/Tungsten riboswitch aptamer (Moco RNA motif)
Source: RNAcentral
AAAAAAUUACUCCGAGCUUUCAAACCUACGUUCCAAAAUUGUGGAAUAGGGCUGCCGGCCGAUAGGGUAAAUCUGGAAACGGGUUUGCCUCCCGUACUUGGAAAGGAGUUUUAUUGGAAAUA